CGGCAGCUCAUGUCACAGCUGCAACAUACAAAGAUCCCAAAAUCUUCAUUGCACACAUCUUAAUGCUCACUGUGACUCAUCCCUUCACAUGUAUGCAACCUGCACAUGGACUCACUGUCUUGCUCUACCUGGCCUUUUGUCACGCUCAAACACAUGCCUACCUUAUGUGACCUUUAGUAGAAUUUUAUAUUUAGGCAUCUGGUGACCAUGGAGGGGGCAGGAGACACACAUUCUUAGUGUGGAACAGCAGCAGACAAAUUCCCAUUCACACUCACAUACUUAUAACUUGCUAUAGGCUCUCAUUCAGUGUGUGAGAGCAUAUGAGUAGCAGAGCCAAAAUAAGGUCAUGUGGAGUUACCUUUCAACCAGACAGAGUUGAAUUAAUACUUUUAAGUGGUAAAGUACAAGACAGAAUUGGAGAAAAGAUAACGAUAACCUCAAAUUAACCCAAUUCUAAAAUAGCAAAAUGACAGUAUUUUGAUUUUAUGCGUAUCUUAAUAUUAUGGAAUAGUUAGUCUAUAAUCUAAUCUAUAUUAUAGUCUAUAAUAAUUUGUACUGUAUAUAACAUGCACUGACAUGUGGUGUGUUCAAUGUUCUUUCCAGGAUUCAAUUCUAAUAUUAACCUGCCAGGAAGAGAAGAAUGUGGCUCUGCCCCAACCUCACCGUCCCUUCAGCUCCAGGAUAGGAACGCUAACAACCACUCUCCUCACUCCUCAAGCCCUGCCCCUGUAGAGAAUGGCAACCAGAUAUCCAACGGGUCGCUGGAGGAUGAGAGUCACAGCAAGUCAAACUCCUCCAGUUCCACCUCUCUGCACAGACACAUGGACAGCCAUCAUAAUCAGGUGUUCCAGAGGUUCCCUUUGCCCACCAGGGAUGAGAGCGCCGCCAUGGGAAAGCUUCGGCGGUGGCAACGAACGCAGUGUGAGGGGCGGGGGGAUUGGAAACACCGUCCGCCUCAGUGCCCUCCUCUGCCCCCCACGCUGCUCUGGACCAACAGGAAGGCCUCUCCAUGACAGAAGCUGUGUGAUGCAGUCGCAUGUUUUGGCUAUGAUGUUCUUCCCUCUCUUUCUCUUCAACCACACUCACACAUGCUCUUAUUGCUUUUUGAUUUAUUUAUUUAUUUUUGAAUGUGGACCAAGCAAUCGCCAUGCCCAGGGGUUAGACUGAAGCUCCAAGCCCCAAAGCAUGAGCCUAGCCCCUUGGCUGCAGGUCCUUCCUCUCUGCCUUUGACUUCAACUGUGGAGGAUGUCCCAACCUUUAUGAUAGAAGCACAGCACUAUAUGAGACUGACAACUGUUAAACAUGAAAAAUGAGUGGAAAGCAGACCCAGUAGAGGUUCUUGGCAGCCUAGGGAUAUUUUGUGAUCAAAUUAUUUAUUAACAAAAAGAGACUGAAAAAAAUGAAGAUGACCUUAUUAUUUAUCUCAGUUCAUCUGAGAUAAUAUGUAUGAUGCCCACUGAUGGAUUAAACAGCCAAGUAGCAGUGUGUUCAUGGUAGUCAGAUAUUAAAGGGCCCUCUGUAUCUCAGCCUAUCAUGAUGUACUGCUGCACACAAAGGAGCUACACCCCAAAACAUGGUGCUGAUUAUACUUGAUGUGGUGUCAUGUGACGUUCCCAUCUGUGGUGACCCCAUGAGUGCUUGUAUGUGUGCGCCCACACCCCCACAGUCUCAGACCUCUCUAAAGUUUACAAGUCGACUGAUGCCUUUGGACACGUCUGGUUUUUAGCAUCAGUGUACUGGCUUUGUCUAGGGACCUUUUUCAGGUACACAGCUCUUAUUUAGCCUCUCACCGUUUGGGCUAUAAGUGCUACUGCAGCCCUGGCAACAAGCGACCAGGGGUCAGGGUAACCUCAGUAAUAUCCCAAGGUGCAUUUCUUUUCCCCAUUAUUACCACCAGCCUUUGAGGAACAAAACCCUCUGGCCAAAAUGCAAACUCCUGCACUUACCUUUACUAUAAGAAGGGGAUCAAACAAUAAAACACGGUUUGGUUUAAAGCAGGGGUAGCCUACACUGGUCCUCGAGAGCCACUAACCUGCUUGUUUUCCAACUAUCCCUGUCCUACACACUGCUGAUUACCUGGAUCAGGAGUGUUCACUCAGUCAGAAACUAAAAGGGCAGGGGUACAAAUGGAAAACAAGCAGGGCAGUAGCUCCUGAGCACCAGGAUUGGCUACCCCUGGUUUAGGGGAUAAAGGUAAAGCUAGAAAAAUGAAACUUUAGCUGACAGGUAUAAAGUUGAUGUUGGUGACAAUAAACUGUGCCAAAGUGAAACAACUUGUGAAAGACAUGUCUGAACUAACAAGCAUAGUUAUGAAAACGGAUGUACACAUUACUCCCCAUAUACUGAUAUAUGUACAGACUGACAAAUGACCAAAUCAUAGCUGUUACUGCGGUUCAGUGGUGAUUCAGUGGGCUGUUUCAAAAUAAAUCUAAAGAACAUGUUGAAAAGAGGAGAUAAAACAACAACAGUCUACGCUUGAAAAGUAACAACUUAACUCUCAUUUUGUCUCAUCGACACCUGAACAGCUUCAUGUGUUGGGUGUCGUUCAGGAGACUGUGCAGAGCUCAGGAACUCACGCACAGAUGAACUUGAUCAUUGUACAGAUCCCUCCAUCGUGGGAGUGUCCUCACAGAAGCCCACUACCUUUCUUUUCCUCUCUUCAUCUCCUUUUCACACUUGACCUCAACAAACUGACCCCAACAACUGCCAUCAUCACCUACGUAAUGGAUCAAACCGGCUCUACGGGUGUUUCCAUGGUAAUCACAAUGUAAAUACUGACCACUGUCAUAUGUUCUAGUUUUUACUAUAAGAGAAAAGCACAGAGAAUGAACUGGAGGAAGAGAUGAGAUAAUACUGUCUAUGAUGGUGAAACUGAGAUUUAAGAAUGUCUUGGGUUCGAUGCAAUGACUGAGGUAAAGAGAAGAGAUUUAUUUUAAAAUGUGAAUAUCUGUUGUUUUUUUUUUUUUUUCAGAAUGAUUGUCUAUGGCUAUGAAAUUCUUUAUACACUAUUUAAUAUUAUUUAGUUCCCCCUUAUCUUGAAUCUGUUGUUCUGUUGAUGCAAGGCAGACGUUUUAAUUGUAUAUGGAUGUUUUAUUACACAAUGUUUAUGUGUUGUCGUGUUCUGUAAUGGGCUGGGUGUCUCUUGACAAGCUGUUUGAUCCUUGAAGAUUGGUCUGAAAUGUAAAAGCCGCAAAGUAUCAGUAGUUCUAAUUGAUUUCUCAUUCCCACUGAUCACCCACAAUGUGUCUGAUUGAUUCAGCCUCAGACGAAUUAGCAGAACCAUCGGAGGAUCAAUCUCAGCUGCUGUCAGUGCGUGAAGGUGCACAAAUAUGCAAGAGGAAUUAUUCACAACAGAGGUGGCAAAUCAGCUGAAUUGCAUUUUUGACUGACUGGCUGAAUGUACUAAUGCACAUUUUUAUCUGACUCUGCAUAUCAAUGAAACCCUGUGUAACCUUAUUACUAGAACAUGCAUCUGUAUCUAAAGACUGUACCUGACUACUUAAUGUGAUUAUUGUCUUUAAAAGUUAUGUAUGCAGCAUAUUCUUUAAAGCAAGUUUUUAACAUUAAGGCAUUGAUUUGUUCCAUGAUUCACACCAUGUGUGCUCUGAGUGGGGUUGCAUGAGUAGUGCUGCAUUGCAGAACUACAUUAGACACUUUCAUGACGGUGCAAUUCUGCACCAUCCCAUCUGUGAUCAAACAAAAUCAACCAACCAUAUGUUAACAAGAACCAAGACCAAGCUAGUUAACUUUGCAAAUGCCAAUGAAAGAGAAUUUAUAGACUUACAUUUAUUUUGAUUAGGGUUCUGGUUAUUCAUGUGUUUUGUGUGUCACCAUGUUUAUUGAGAUCAUAAAAUAAGGAGAUUAUUUGUUUUUUUAUUGUCUUUAAAAACGUAUUAAUACAUUUUACCUUGCAUGACCACACGUUCGGCCUAGCCCCGUAUAAUGUGAUCAUGCUGAGGGAAGCUGUCUAAUGUGAAGAACUGCUUCCUACCGCACUGUGAAUCACUACAUUGUCUCAUCAUCCAUCCUUGUUCACCUUUAACUGGACCAGCCCAGGCACAUAUCAGCUCCGUCAUAUACAAUCCCCGAUGACCUAACUCAAGUGUGUUGUAAGCAUAGCAAACAGUGGAUCCAGGAUUACUGUCGGUCAUCUUUGUUAGUCAUGAAUCUAUAAAUCCUCUGCUCUGAGAUCAGCUCUCUGGUGCUACAGCCAGUGCAGAAUGACCAUUUUAUUAUCCCUAGUUCAUGUAGAGUUUACCAGAGACACAUUAUUUUAGCACCUAAGCAGGAGUAUCUCACUGCCUUUCAUUGUGUUGUUUUUUUAGUGUACUUCUUUUGUACAUGACAUACAGUAUAUUUUAACCUGCAUACAUAUGUAUUUGUGAAAAGAAUUGUAUGUGAUAUUUCAUAAUUAUUAUGUUCCUAAUGUUUUAUAAGUACUGUACCUGUACAGCAAUAAAG
Molecule: long non-coding RNA, 4461 nt
Organism: Mastacembelus armatus (zig-zag eel)
Lineage: Eukaryota; Metazoa; Chordata; Actinopteri; Synbranchiformes; Mastacembelidae
Source: Ensembl